UACGGAGGAUGCGAGCGUUAUCCGGAUUUAUUGGGUUUAAAGGGUGCGUAGGCGGGAUGCCAAGUCAGCGGUAAAAAUGCGGUGCUCAACGCCGUCGAGCCGUUGAAACUGGCGUUCUUGAGUGGGCGAGAAGUAUGCGGAAUGCGUGGUGUAGCGGUGAAAUGCAUAGAUAUCACGCAGAACUCCGAUUGCGAAGGCAGCAUACCGGCGCCCUACUGACGCUGAGGCACGAAAGCGUGGGUAUCGAAAAGG
This 252-nucleotide ribosomal RNA is filed under the name uncultured bacterium. Its description in RNAcentral is "partial 16S ribosomal RNA". It matches the Rfam family "Bacterial small subunit ribosomal RNA", at positions 524 to 776 of the family's 1533-position model. The record is from RNAcentral.